Molecule: non-coding RNA, 36 nt
Filed under: Climacostomum virens
Lineage: Eukaryota; Ciliophora; Heterotrichea; Heterotrichida; Climacostomidae
Source: RNAcentral
UCAUUUUUUUUUUUUUUUUUUUAUUGCUUUUUUUCU